AAGGAUGGGUCUUCAACAGCUUGCUGUUAUCGACCUGUUUUAGAAACAUCAGAAGGCUCUAAGUCAUACGAGCCUCAUUGGCGGGAUUUCGCCGUCUUCGUUUCUCUUUCUUCGCGGACGAACACGCGCCUGGGGUGCGCGCAAGUCGAUCGGCCCGGCGUCUGCCGGCUGGUGGUUUGCUUGCGGCCUCUCGUGCUGAGGGCUUGUAGCUCAGUUGGUUAGAGCGCGCGCUUGAUAAGCGUGAGGUCGGAAGUUCAAGUCUUCCCAGGCCCACCAUUUUGUCGAGCGCUGCAUUCGUCUUCUGGUUACGGGGCCAUAGCUCAGCUGGGAGAGCGCGUGCUUUGCAAGCAUGAGGUCGUCGGUUCGAUCCCGUCUGGCUCCACCAGAUGGACGAUCAUCGAACGAACAUCAUCGUAACGAAGAUCAUCGUGACCUCGGCUUCGCCUCGUUGCUGUCAUCCGGACAGCGACGGUGGCUCAUCGUCCGCAACUUGUAUUCGCCGGCUUUGCGCAAUGCGCGGCCUGGCGGGUUUUCUGACAUCGUGAAGAGGAGAUCGAUCCGGGUUCGGGUCUUGUAGAGCAAUCUGCGGGCGCCGUUCGCGUAUCUCCAGAUCGUUUUCGGCGCAUGCCGGUCGCAAGACCUGCGUGUUGUAAAACGGUCUUUGUUGGCGAGCUUGACCGCACGCCAUCGGUUCGAUCUUACGAAGCAAUAACUGGUCUUUUCAUUCAAUGUCCGUUUGCAAGACGCGUCCUUCGGGAUGGCUUGCAAGUACAUUCUGCCGAGUGUGUGGACAUUGAUAAUGAGAGCAAUCAA
This 813-nucleotide transfer RNA is filed under the name Rhodopseudomonas palustris. The stretch from base 200 to 273 matches the Rfam family "tRNA". Lineage: Bacteria; Pseudomonadati; Pseudomonadota; Alphaproteobacteria; Hyphomicrobiales; Nitrobacteraceae. The record is from RNAcentral.